GGUAUCUCUACAUGCUUAUCCAAAUUAUGAGUUUGAGAACAAGCUCUUUCUCUAGGAGGGGAGUAAUAUUAGGGAUACAUUCUUAGAAAAGAGUUAUAUAAGGAGUGGAUCACAAGAUAAGGAAGUCAAUGGCACUGUAAAUGGCAACAAAUAAAUUACAAUAUUAGCAAAUAAAUUACAUUAUCAAGGGGAAUCAACAAUAACUAAUUAUUAGCAAAAAUAUAAAUUUCAGUUGCGAUAUUAUUCUGAUUGUAAUAUUUUAAUUUAAGCCCG
Molecule: unclassified non-coding RNA, 273 nt
Filed under: Hevea brasiliensis (rubber tree)
Lineage: Eukaryota; Viridiplantae; Streptophyta; Magnoliopsida; Malpighiales; Euphorbiaceae
Source: RNAcentral